Molecule: ribosomal RNA, 1319 nt
Filed under: Lebiini sp. 2 ACP-2013
Lineage: Eukaryota; Metazoa; Arthropoda; Insecta; Coleoptera; Carabidae
Description: 16S ribosomal RNA
Source: RNAcentral
AAAUUAUUAAUUUAUUAUUAAAUUAUUAUUUUUUGUUUUUAAUAAAAAUAAUUUUAUUAAAUAUUUUUUUAAGUAUAUUUUAUAGAAAAAAAAAAAAUAAUUAUAGUUUAUUUGUAUUGUAAAAGAAAAUUGAAAUAUAUAUUAAUUAUUUAUAAGUAAAAUUUAAUUUUUGUACCUUGUGUAUCAGGGUUUAUUAAAAAAUUAUUAUUGAGAAUAAUUUUCUCGAUUUUAAGAGAGUUAAUAAAUUAUAUUUUUUAUUGUAAAAAAAAUAUUUAGAAUAAUUUAUUAGUAAUGAAAUGUUAUUCGUUCUUUAAUAUAUCUAGUUUAUUUAGAAAUGAAUUUAAUUCGGAUAUUAAUUUUUUUAUUUAUUUAUUUAUUAAUAAAUAAGAUUUUAAUAUUAAUAAUUAAAGGGAUUAGCUUUUGAUUAAAUUUUUAUAAAAUAUAUUUAUUAAUUAAUAUAAGUAAGUUUAGAAAUAUCUAUCUAUAAUAAUUUGUUAUAAUUAAUUUAGUAUUAAGAUAUAAUUUUAUAUGUUUUUAAAUUUUUUAUAAAUAAAUAAUUUUUAAUUAUUAAAAAUUAGUUAUAAUGAUAAAAUUAGUAUAUAUAUAUAUAUAUAUAAUAGUAGAAAAUAAUUUAUUUAAAGGAAUUCGGCAAAAAUAAUUACUCGCCUGUUUAACAAAAACAUGUCCUUUAGAUAUUUAUUUAAGGUCUAACCUGCCCACUGAUUUUUAAAUGGCCGCAGUAAUUUGACUGUGCAAAGGUAGCAUAAUCAUUAGUUUUUUAAUUAAAAGCUUGUAUGAAAGGUUGAACGAAGUAAAAUCUGUCUCUAUUUAAUUUAUAUUAGAAUUUAAUUUUUAAGUUAAAAAGCUUAAAUUUUUAUAAAAGACGAGAAGACCCUAUAAAGUUUAAUAAUUAUUAGUUUUAUUUUUAAUUAAGUUUAUUUUAUAAUUUAUAAUUAAAAUUAUUUUAUUGGGGUAAUAUAAAGGUUAAUAUAAUCCUUUAUUAUUUUUUACAUUAAUUUAUGAAUUUAAAUGAUCCAUUAUUAUUGAUUAAAAGAUUAAAUUACUUUAGGGAUAACAGCGUAAUUUUUUUAAAGAGUUCUUAUCGAUAAAAAAGUUUGCGACCUCGAUGUUGGAUUAAAGAUUAAUUUAGGUGUAGAAGUUUAAAUUUUUGGUCUGUUCGACCAUUGAAUCUUUACAUGAUCUGAGUUCAGACCGGUGUAAGCCAGGUCGGUUUCUAUCUUUAUUAAAAAUAUAAUAUUUUAGUACGAAAGGACCAAAUAUUUAAUAUAAUUAUAUUUAAAAGUUGAAUAUAAAUAAAU